RNAcentral lists this ribosomal RNA (666 nucleotides) under Staphylococcus epidermidis. RNAcentral describes it as "bacterial SSU rRNA". It matches the Rfam family "Bacterial small subunit ribosomal RNA", at positions 48 to 693 of the family's 1533-position model. The record is from RNAcentral. Lineage: Bacteria; Bacillati; Bacillota; Bacilli; Caryophanales; Staphylococcaceae.
CCUAUACAUGCAAGUCGAGCGAACAGACGAAGGAAGCUUGCUUCCUCUGACGUUAGCGGCGGACGGGUGAGUAACACGUGGAUAACCUACCUAUAAGACUGGGAUAACUUCGGGAAACCGGAGCUAAUACCGGAUAAUAUAUUGAACCGCAUGGUUCAAUAGUGAAAGACGGUUUUGCUGUCACUUAUAGAUGGAUCCGCGCCGCAUUAGCUAGUUGGUAAGGUAACGGCUUACCAAGGCAACGAUGCGUAGCCGACCUGAGAGGGUGAUCGGCCACACUGGAACUGAGACACGGUCCAGACUCCUACGGGAGGCAGCAGUAGGGAAUCUUCCGCAAUGGGCGAAAGCCUGACGGAGCAACGCCGCGUGAGUGAUGAAGGUCUUCGGAUCGUAAAACUCUGUUAUUAGGGAAGAACAAAUGUGUAAGUAACUAUGCACGUCUUGACGGUACCUAAUCAGAAAGCCACGGCUAACUACGUGCCAGCAGCCGCGGUAAUACGUAGGUGGCAAGCGUUAUCCGGAAUUAUUGGGCGUAAAGCGCGCGUAGGCGGUUUUUUAAGUCUGAUGUGAAAGCCCACGGCUCAACCGUGGAGGGUCAUUGGAAACUGGAAAACUUGAGUGCAGAAGAGGAAAGUGGAAUUCCAUGUGUAGCGGUGAAAUGCGCAG